This 869-nucleotide ribosomal RNA is filed under the name uncultured bacterium. Its description in RNAcentral is "bacterial SSU rRNA". It matches the Rfam family "Bacterial small subunit ribosomal RNA", at positions 54 to 916 of the family's 1533-position model. The record is from RNAcentral.
CAUGCAGUCGAGCGGUAGCGACAGAGAGCUUGCUCUCGGGUGACGAGCGGCGGACGGAUGAGUAAUGUCUGGGAAACUGCCUGAUGGAGGGGGAUAACUACUGGAAACGGUAGCUAAUACCGCAUAACGUCGCAAGACCAAAGUGGGGGACCUUCGGGCCUCAUGCCAUCAGAUGUGCCCAGAUGGGAUUAGCUAGUAGGUGGGGUAACGGCUCACCUAGGCGACGAUCCCUAGCUGGUCUGAGAGGAUGACCAGCCACACUGGAACUGAGACACGGUCCAGACUCCUACGGGAGGCAGCAGUGGGGAAUAUUGCACAAUGGGCGCAAGCCUGAUGCAGCCAUGCCGCGUGUGUGAAGAAGGCCUUCGGGUUGUAAAGCACUUUCAGCGGGGAGGAAGGCGGUGAGGUUAAUAACCUCAUCGAUUGACGUUACCCGCAGAAGAAGCACUGGCUAACUCCGUGCCAGCAGCCGCGGUAAUACGGAGGGUGCAAGCGUUAAUCGGAAUUACUGGGCGUAAAGCGCACGCAGGCGGUCUGUCAAGUCGGAUGUGAAAUCCCCGGGCUUAACCUGGGAACUGCAUUCGAAACUGGCAGGCUAGAGUCUUGUAGAGGGGGGUAGAAUUCCAGGUGUAGCGGUGAAAUGCGUAGAGAUCUGGAGGAAUACCGGUGGCGAACGCGGCCCCCUGGACAAAGACUGACGCUCAGGUGCGAAAGCGUGGGGAGCAAACAGGAUUAGAUACCCUGGUAGUCCACGCCGUAAACGAUGUCGAUUUGGAGGUUGUGCCCUUGAGGCGUGGCUUCCGGAGCUAACGCGUUAAAUCGACCGCCUGGGGAGUACGGCCGCAAGGUUAAACUCAAGGAAUUGACGG